RNA transcript from Arachis stenosperma, 1879 nucleotides. It is a transcript of the gene named glucose-6-phosphate 1-dehydrogenase 3, chloroplastic-like, with no coding region annotated. Lineage: Eukaryota; Viridiplantae; Streptophyta; Magnoliopsida; Fabales; Fabaceae. The record is from RefSeq and is a predicted model, not a curated record. The transcript is spliced from 8 exons.
UACAAUGGCUCGCUCAAUCUCCCUUCUAUCUUUCCCUCGUCCUCGUGCUCAAUCCAUCGCUACCGCCACUUUCACUCUCCACCAUCGCUUCCUCUUCAACAAAAUCAAAGGUUCCAAACCACACACCUUGUUUCCCCAUUGUACGACGAUAGCGGAUCUUCUUUCAAAUCUCGGAUCUUCUCCGGUGACAUCUCCUCUGGCGACGACCUCCUUUGGUGAAAUCUCUUCCCAUGGUAAUCUCCUCCGAUGAUGUCACCUCCAGCUUCCUCUCCUUUCCAUCCUAGCUUUGCGCCUUCUUUGCCAAAAUUCUCAGUGCCUCCCUCAGCGUCUUCUUUGAUGACAUCUCUCUAUUGAAGAUCUGUAUUUCCAAGCCAUCACAAACAGAACAAGCACAACUCUCCCCUGCUUCCUCUGUUCUCCUUUGGCAGAAAAUUUAUGGGAGAAAGCCCUGCACACAACCUGCUCGAUGAAAUGCUUCAACUAAAUUCUGCCCUUAUCAAUGCUUUUAUGACAGAACUGGAACCUGAUUCUCCAGUUAUCUAGAGAGAACUGCGGUGAAAAGAUGGAUGAAUUUCUUAAGAGAUGCUUUUACCAUUCUGGUCAGUAUGACUCUCAUGAAAACUUUGCAGCACUGGACAAGAAGCUUAAGGAACAUGAGAAUGGGAAAGCUUCUAGUUGCAUGUUCUAUCUAUCAAUUCCUCCAAACAUAUUCAUAGAUGCAGUAAAAUGUGCCAGUUCAUUAGCAUCUUCUGGUAAUGGUUGGACAAGAGACAUUGUUGAGAAGCCUUUUGGUCGAGGUUCAGAAUCUUCAGUUGUUUUAACAAAAUCGCUCAAGCAGUAUCUUCGUGAGGAUCAAAUUUUCAGGUUUUCUACCUAAACUGAUUAUGUAAUCUACUACUUUACAGACAAGUUUCACCACUUAAAAUCAUGGAGAAUCAUAUACAGGAUUGACCACUAUCUGGGGAAAGAGCUUAAUUAUUUGGUUAUUGUUUUGAAAGAUUUAAAGGUUGAAUGUGUCAAAACUUUCUGUUGAGGUUGUGUUUUUUCUAUUUCAUUUUUUGAUUAUAUAUGAACCAAUCUUAUUUUUGCCAUUUUAUUUGAGCAGGAAAUUGGAAAGUCUUGAAGUAAGACAUUCUUUUCAUCUCACAUUUGUCUUUUCUAUAUAUUGUGCAUUUGAUGCAUCAGGUUCAUAUUUCGUGUUUCCUCUGAACUUUUAUUAGUGAUGCUGAACAUUCUGGCUUUAUAUAUAUUGGAAAAUAUAUUGCUUUACUAGUUGACUUUUCUCGAAAGCCCCAUAUUUUCUUUGUUAGCAGUUGGGUAGAGCUUGCUUAAUAAUUUAAAUAUUUCCUGUGAUUUAAAUUUCCCCAUACCUCUACCUUGACCUUCGAUUUGCCAGCAUUUAACAUGAUUGCAAAAGCCUCUUCUAAGCCUAUAAAUCUCAUGCAUGCUCUUGGGUGAUGAAAGUUUGAGGCCAUCAUAUAUUAAUUUUGUUUUACAUUUGCAAUUUUUUAGCUAUUGGAAUAAUAUUGACAAGAUCAAUAGCAUAGAACACCUUAGGCAAAUGAAAGAAUCAGUCAGGGAAUCAAUUAAUCGUGUUUACAGAAGGAAAAUUUGGGAAAGCACCAAAUAAUGUCUCUUGAAUGUGCCAAUCAGCUUGAAGCAUGUGCCUGGCUUCAUUGAGAGAGCUGAGGAGCUAAAAGAAAAGGGUGUGGAUGAAUCAAUUUAGAUUACUGAUAACUUGGAACCAAGAUUUUACAAGGAUUUACGUAAUGAAAACUUGGCUUCAGUGAACGUUGUCUUGUGUAUAUAUAAAAAAUUGUUAUAGUUGUAUAUUUAUAUAUUUAUAGUUAAAAAAUCAUGUUAUGUUUGAUACUUCGUA